RNAcentral lists this ribosomal RNA (505 nucleotides) under uncultured bacterium. Its description in RNAcentral is "bacterial SSU rRNA". It matches the Rfam family "Bacterial small subunit ribosomal RNA", at positions 17 to 518 of the family's 1533-position model. The record is from RNAcentral.
UUCUGGCUCAGGAUGAACGCUAGCUACAGGCUUAACACAUGCAAGUCGAGGGGUAGCAGGGUAGCAAUACCGCUGACGACCGGCGCACGGGUGAGUAACACGUAUCCAACCUUCCCAUAACUCGGGGAUAGCCUUUCGAAAGAAAGAUUAAUACCCGAUAGUACUUAAGAAAGGCAUCUUUUUUAAGUUAAAGAUUUAUUGGUUAUGGAUGGGGAUGCGUUCCAUUAGAUAGUUGGUGAGGUAACGGCUCACCAAGUCUUCGAUGGAUAGGGGUUCUGAGAGGAAGGUCCCCCACAUUGGUACUGAGACACGGACCAAACUCCUACGGGAGGCAGCAGUGAGGAAUAUUGGUCAAUGGGCGAGAGCCUGAACCAGCCAAGUAGCGUGAAGGAAUGAAGGUCCUAUGGAUUGUAAACUUCUUUUAUAGUAGAAUAAAGUGAUCCACGUGUGGAUUUUUGUAUGUAUACUAUGAAUAAGGAUCGGCUAACUCCGUGCCAGCCGCCGC